This 77-nucleotide transfer RNA is filed under the name Klebsiella sp. HMSC16A12. Its description in RNAcentral is "tRNA-Lys". It matches the Rfam family "tRNA". Rfam says of the family: Transfer RNA (tRNA) molecules are approximately 80 nucleotides in length. Lineage: Bacteria; Pseudomonadati; Pseudomonadota; Gammaproteobacteria; Enterobacterales; Enterobacteriaceae. The record is from RNAcentral.
GGGUCGUUAGCUCAGUUGGUAGAGCAGUUGAACUUUUAAUCAAUUGGUCGCAGGUUCGAAUCCUGCACGACCCACCA